AAAUAAAAGGAACACACACAAUAAACACAACAUUCAAUACAAAAACCAUGCCAUGAUGCACAUGCUAUGCUGAUGCACACAAAGGUUACUUCUAACGUACAAAGUUUUGUUUCUGUUUUGAAAGGCUCUCAAAAGAUUUGGACAGAUUAUACAACAUCAAAGUGGUAAUUAAUAUGCAAGAAACAUGGAUAGGGUUUAAAACAAAAGAUUGUGCGGCUUUUGUAACAUAGAGCAAUAUUUAAAUUGCAUACCAUGAUUAUACACAAAAUAAUUUCUUUUCUGGUCCUAAUGGAUAGAGAACAAGUUUAAAUAAUUUUACCGCAAGAUAACAUGUUCAAAACUAUUUUGAAACCAUUCAUUCGAAAUUUAAACCAUAAACCACCAUUCUGUAAAUAGCUACUGUCUAAGUUAUUCAAAACUGAAAAUAAACAGUGCCAAAAUAUUCUACACGUUGCGACGAUUCCAGAAAGGUGUGGAUCGUAAAUUUUGGACAAACGGUUUAAAAGAUAUAAAGGUUUGAAGUUAUAGGGUCUUUUCUGCAAAAGUGUAUUAUCCACUUCGGCCGAAAAAAAUAAAAUAAAACAAAACAAAAACUUGCCACGUGGCGAAACCUGACUGGCCCGGUUCUAGGGUUCCGGCCGGCGGGCGAGCUCGCCGGCGGCGGCGCGGGAAGGCGGCGCGGGGCGGAGCGCGGGC
RNAcentral lists this long non-coding RNA (696 nucleotides) under Brachypodium distachyon (stiff brome). RNAcentral describes it as "long non-coding RNA (BDIS_LNC000216)". The record is from RNAcentral. Lineage: Eukaryota; Viridiplantae; Streptophyta; Magnoliopsida; Poales; Poaceae.